Nyctereutes procyonoides (raccoon dog) is the source of this 339-nucleotide long non-coding RNA. RefSeq lists it as uncharacterized. NCBI's taxonomy places the organism in Eukaryota, Metazoa, Chordata, Mammalia, Carnivora, Canidae. The transcript is spliced from 2 exons. The record is from RefSeq and is a predicted model, not a curated record.
CACAGAUUAAUUCGAAAUAGAGUCUGUCCAGGAGGAGCUUCCAUUCCAGUCUCAACCUCCAGUACCUCACGAUGUGGCGAUGUUUGGAGAUACGGCCCUGAGAGAGGUAAUCAAGCUACCAUGAGACCCCUCCGGUGGGCCCUGAUAUGAUAUGGCUGGUGAACUUGUAAGAGCAAAUCCGGACACAAACACAGAGAGAGAACAUGUGAGAACUCAGGCGGAAGACAGCCAUCUGUAAGCCAGGAGAGGACCCAGGAGAAACCGCUCCUGCUGACACCUCCAUGUCUAGUUUCCAGCCUCCAGAACUGUUGAGAAAAUAAAUUGCUAUUGUUGAAGCUA